Molecule: ribosomal RNA, 468 nt
Filed under: uncultured bacterium
Lineage: Bacteria
Description: partial 16S ribosomal RNA
Rfam family: Bacterial small subunit ribosomal RNA
Source: RNAcentral
GACGAACGCUGGCGGCGUGCUUAACACAUGCAAGUCGAACGGAAAGGCCCUGCUUUUGUGGGGUGCUCGAGUGGCGAACGGGUGAGUAACACGUGAGUAACCUGCCCUUGACUUUGGGAUAACUUCAGGAAACUGGGGCUAAUACCGGAUAGGAGCUCCUGCUGCAUGGUGGGGGUUGGAAAGUUUCGGCGGUUGGGGAUGGACUCGCGGCUUAUCAGCUUGUUGGUGGGGUAGUGGCUUACCAAGGCUUUGACGGGUAGCCGGCCUGAGAGGGUGACCGGCCACAAUGGGACUGAGAUACGGCCCAGAAGCCUACGGGAGGCAGCAGUGGGGAAUAUUGCACAAUGGGGCGAAGCCUGAUGCAGCAACGCCGCGUGCGGGAUGACGUCCUUCGAGUUGUAAACCGCUUUCGCCUGUGACGAAGCGGGAGUGACGGUAAUGGGUAAGGAAGCACCGGCUAACUACGUG